RNAcentral lists this non-coding RNA (24 nucleotides) under Arabidopsis thaliana (thale cress). Lineage: Eukaryota; Viridiplantae; Streptophyta; Magnoliopsida; Brassicales; Brassicaceae. The record is from RNAcentral.
UAUAAUUGUUGUUGUGUAUGUAGU